GCCACAUCGCUCACCUGAGCAAUUGGCUAGGAAAAAAACACAGAUCAGAUCAGAACUGAAAGUAAACUGGGGGGGGGGGGGGGGGUGGCUUGAAUUUUACAACCCCCCCUAGGGGGUCAUGAUUUGAAAAAACUUGAAUCUACACUACCUGAGGAUGAUUCCCAAUAAAUAUAACGAAGCCUGGCUUUGAAGUACUUGAAAAGAAGAUUUUAAAAGAUUUUUCCUAUAUAUUCCUUUGUAAAACCUAGAUCGGCCAUUUUGGCCCCACCCAACCCCCGGGGGUCAUGAUUUGAACAAACUUGAAUCUACACUACCUGAGGAUGAUUCCACAU
Saccostrea cuccullata (small rock oyster) is the source of this 332-nucleotide long non-coding RNA. RefSeq lists it as uncharacterized. The record is from RefSeq and is a predicted model, not a curated record. NCBI's taxonomy places the organism in Eukaryota, Metazoa, Mollusca, Bivalvia, Ostreida, Ostreidae. The transcript has 2 exons.